AUACAUGCAAGUCGAGCGAACAGACGAGGAGCUUGCUCCUCUGACGUUAGCGGCGGACGGGUGAGUAACACGUGGGUAACCUACCUAUAAGACUGGAAUAACUCCGGGAAACCGGGGCUAAUGCCGGAUAAUAUGCGGAACCGCAUGGUUCCGCAAUGAAAGACGGUUUUGCUGUCACUUAUAGAUGGACCCGCGCCGUAUUAGCUAGUUGGUAAGGUAACGGCUUACCAAGGCAACGAUACGUAGCCGACCUGAGAGGGUGAUCGGCCACACUGGAACUGAGACACGGUCCAGACUCCUACGGGAGGCAGCAGUAGGGAAUCUUCCGCAAUGGGCGAAAGCCUGACGGAGCAACGCCGCGUGAGUGAUGAAGGUCUUCGGAUCGUAAAACUCUGUUAUUAGGGAAGAACAAGUGCGUAGGUAACUAUGCGCACCUUGACGGUACCUAAUCAGAAAGCCACGGCUAACUACGUGCCAGCAGCCGCGGUAAUACGUAGGUGGCAAGCGUUAUCCGGAAUUAUUGGGCGUAAAGCGCGCGUAGGCGGUUUUUUAAGUCUGAUGUGAAAGCCCACGGCUCAACCGUGGAGGGUCAUUGGAAACUGGAAAACUUGAGUGCAGAAGAGGGAAGUGGAAUUCCAUGUGUAGCGGUGAAAUGCGCAGAGAUAUGGAGGGACACCAGUGGCGAAGGCGACUUUCUGGUCUGCAACUGACGCUGAUGUGCGAAAGCGUGGGGAUCAAACAGGAUUA
Molecule: ribosomal RNA, 747 nt
Filed under: Staphylococcus piscifermentans
Lineage: Bacteria; Bacillati; Bacillota; Bacilli; Caryophanales; Staphylococcaceae
Description: bacterial SSU rRNA
Rfam family: Bacterial small subunit ribosomal RNA
Source: RNAcentral